Molecule: ribosomal RNA, 253 nt
Filed under: uncultured bacterium
Lineage: Bacteria
Description: partial 16S ribosomal RNA
Rfam family: Bacterial small subunit ribosomal RNA
Source: RNAcentral
UACGUAGGGCGCAAGCGUUGUCCGGAAUUAUUGGGCGUAAAGAGCUCGUAGGCGGUCUGUCACGUCGGAUGUGAAAGCCCGGGGCUUAACCCCGGGUCUGCAUUCGAUACGGGCAGACUAGAGUGUGGUAGGGGAGAUCGGAAUUCCUGGUGUAGCGGUGAAAUGCGCAGAUAUCAGGAGGAACACCGGUGGCGAAGGCGGAUCUCUGGGCCUUACCUGACGCUGAGGCGCGAAAGCUAGGGGAGCGAACAGG